RNAcentral lists this ribosomal RNA (478 nucleotides) under uncultured bacterium. RNAcentral's name for it is "partial 16S ribosomal RNA". It matches the Rfam family "Bacterial small subunit ribosomal RNA", at positions 28 to 507 of the family's 1533-position model. The record is from RNAcentral.
GAUGAACGCUGGCGGCGUGCUUAACACAUGCAAGUCGAACGGGAAUUCUUUUAUUGAAACUUCGGUCGAUUUAAUUUAAUUCUAGUGGCGGACGGGUGAGUAACGCGUGGGUAACCUGCCUUAUACAGGGGGAUAACAGUCAGAAAUGGCUGCUAAUACCGCAUAAGCGCACAGAGCUGCAUGGCUCAGUGUGAAAAACUCCGGUGGUAUAAGAUGGACCCGCGUUGGAUUAGCUGGUUGGUGGGGUAACGGCCCACCAAGGCGACGAUCCAUAGCCGGCCUGAGAGGGUGAACGGCCACAUUGGGACUGAGACACGGCCCAGACUCCUACGGGAGGCAGCAGUGGGGAAUAUUGCACAAUGGGGGAAACCCUGAUGCAGCGACGCCGCGUGAAGGAAGAAGUAUCUCGGUAUGUAAACUUCUAUCAGCAGGGAAGAUAGUGACGGUACCUGACGAAGAAGCCCCGGCUAACUACGUG